ACCAACAGGGAUUGCCCUAGUAACGGCGAGUGAAGCGGCAACAGCUCAAAUUUGAAAUCUGGCUCUUUCAGAGUCCGAGUUGUAAUUUGCAGAGGGCGCUUUGGCGUUGGCAGCGGUCCAAGUUCUUUGGAACAGGACGUCACAGAGGGUGAGAAUCCCGUACGUGGUCGCUAGCCUUCGCCGUGUAAAGCCCCUUCGACGAGUCGAGUUGUUUGGGAAUGCAGCUCUAAAUGGGAGGUAAAUUUCUUCUAAAGCUAAAUAUUGGCCAGAGACCGAUAGCGCACAAGUAGAGUGAUCGAAAGAUGAAAAGCACUUUGGAAAGAGAGUCAAAUAGCACGUGAAAUUGUUGAAAGGGAAGCGCUUGCAGCCAGACUUGCCUGUAGUUGCUUAUCCGGACUUUUGUCCGGUGCACUCUUCUGCGGGCAGGCCAGCAUCAGUUUGGGCGGUUGGAUAAAGGUCUCUGUCAUGUACCUCCUUUCGGGGAGGCCUUAUAGGGGAGACGACAUGCAACCAGCCUGGACUGAGGUCCGCGCAUCUGCUAGGAUGCUGGCGUAAUGGCUGUAAGCGGCCCGUCUUGAAACACGGACCAAGGAGUCUAACAUCUAUGCGAGUGUUUGGGUGUCAAGCCCAGACGCGUAAUGAAAGUGAACGGAGGUGGGAACCUUUUAGGUGCACCAUCGACCGAUCCUGAUGUCUUCGGAAGGAUUUGAGUAAGAGCAUGGCUGUUGGGACCCGAAAGAUGGUGAACUAUGCUUGAAUAGGGUGAAGCCAGAGGAAACUCUGGUGGAGGCUCGCAGCGGUUCUGACGUGCAAAUCGAUCGUCAAAUUUGGGCAUAGGGGCGAAAGACUAAUCGAACUAUCUAGUAGCUGGUUCCUGCCGAAGUUUCCCUCAGGAUAGCAGUAACGUAUUCAGUUUUAUGAGGUAAAGCGAAUGAUUAGAGGCCUGGGGGUUGAAACAACCUUCACCUAUUCUCAAACUUUAAAUAUGUAAGAAGUCCUUGUUACUUGAUUGAACGUGGACACUUGAAUGUACCGUUACUAGUGGGCCAUUUUUGGUAAGCAGAACUGGCGAUGCGGGAUGAACCGAACGCGGGGUUAAGGUGCCAGAAUAUACGCUCAUCAGACACCACAAAAGGUGUUAGUUCAUCUAGACAGCAGGACGGUGGCCAUGGAAGUCGGAAUCCGCUAAGGAGUGUGUAACAACUCACCUGCCGAAUGAACUAGCCCUGAAAAUGGAUGGCGCUCAAGCGUAUUACCCAUACCCCGCCGCCGGGGCAGAAUUUAUGCCCCGGCGAGUAGGCAGGCGUGGAGGCUCGUGACGAAGC
RNAcentral lists this ribosomal RNA (1325 nucleotides) under Didymocyrtis cladoniicola. Its description in RNAcentral is "eukaryotic LSU rRNA". It matches the Rfam family "Eukaryotic large subunit ribosomal RNA", at positions 64 to 1409 of the family's 3401-position model. Lineage: Eukaryota; Fungi; Ascomycota; Dothideomycetes; Pleosporales; Phaeosphaeriaceae. The record is from RNAcentral.